CCUACGGGAGGCAGCAGUGGGGAAUAUUGCACAAUGGGGGAAACCCUGAUGCAGCGACGCCGCGUGAGUGAAGACGUAUUUCUGUACGUAAAGCUCUAUCAGCAGGGAAGAAAAUGACGGUAUCUGACUCAGAAGCCCCGGCUAACUACGUGCCAGCAGCCGCGGCAAUACGUAGGCGGCAAGCGUUAUACGGAUUUACUGGGUGUAAAGGGAGCGUAGUCGGCAGCGCAAGUCUGAAGUGAAAUCCUUUGGCUUAACCAUGAAACUGCAGUUGAAACUGUGAAGCUUGAGUGCAGGAGAGGUAAGCGGAAUUCGUAGUGUAGCGGUGAAAUGCGUAGAUAUUAGGAGGAACACCAGUGGCGAAGGCGGCUUACUGGACUGCAACUGACGUUGAGGCUCGAAAGCGUGGGGAGCAAACAGGAUUAGAUACCCUGGUAGUC
Molecule: ribosomal RNA, 440 nt
Filed under: uncultured bacterium
Lineage: Bacteria
Description: partial 16S ribosomal RNA
Rfam family: Bacterial small subunit ribosomal RNA
Source: RNAcentral